GUCGCAUGAAACAAAAUUGCCAUUCAUCUUAAACAAUCAACAUCUUUACAUGCAAAUGCCAUCAAAAGGACUUUUCCAAGGCUUGUAAUGAGGUUGGGCUAACAAGAAAGAAUUGGUUUUUCUAGAAUGCAAAAUCCUUGAGUUAAGAGAGCUAACAAAAUAUUCAACAAUUAAGCACAACUCUCUCACCAAUAUCUCUCAUUCCCAACUUCUUCCCUUUUCUUUUCUUUUUCAUUGAGCUCAUCUUCAUGCUUUUCUUCUUUUCUUUUCUUUUUCUCAUGAAUUUUUCUCUUUUCACAACAAUUGAGCUCAAUGUCUUUCACUUGCUUUUUCAAUUUUCCCCCGUACAACCCCAAACUUGAACCUUUUCAUCACAUACAAUUAAGCUCAUC
This 392-nucleotide long non-coding RNA is filed under the name Vigna radiata. RNAcentral describes it as "long non-coding RNA (VRAD_LNC011773)". The record is from RNAcentral. Lineage: Eukaryota; Viridiplantae; Streptophyta; Magnoliopsida; Fabales; Fabaceae.